Phlebotomus papatasi is the source of this 2867-nucleotide long non-coding RNA. RefSeq lists it as uncharacterized. The record is from RefSeq and is a predicted model, not a curated record. The transcript is spliced from 3 exons. NCBI's taxonomy places the organism in Eukaryota, Metazoa, Arthropoda, Insecta, Diptera, Psychodidae.
GCACUUGGGACUAGCUCCGAGAGUCUCUCAGCUCUGGCACGCUCAUGGACAGGCAGAAAUCGGAGAUAUGUUUAGUAUCACAUCACUGUUCGUAGUGUUAACAUCGUGUCUAGAAAACGUGGAACUUUUGGACUACAUGUUGAUGGUGAACAUUUAUCGAAAGAGAAAGGGUUAUUAAUGAAAUGUUUCACGAAUUAUCCUUUGAAAAAAAAACAAACUUUUUUAACAUUUUUAUUUCCUACUUCAAAAGUGGAUAGGAUAAUGAAAUAAAGGAUUAUAAAUUAGUAAUUGUGUUAUGCAAGAACAGUUUCUUAUUUAUCUUUUAAAAGAUUCUUUCCAUGAAAUUUCCUUUAAAGACAAUUCCUUAGAAGACAAUUAAGUGAAAGGUUGCUGGAAAGCGGUUCAAUAGUGAACAUAUUUGUGAAUGAGAUUCAGUUGAGUACAGGGAAUGAAAUUUAACUUCCUAUGAAGUUGCUUCAUACUGUGCCGUGUAGUUGAAAAUAUCCAAUUCCUUGUUUUAAACAGAAAUAAUUCCAGACAUCAGUUAGUGGUUUUAGAUGAAACUUUACACUCGGAACGUGUGAUUUCUUCACUCAAGUGUUGUAACUUGGCAAAUAUACAUUCAUUUCUUCUCUUUUCUGCCCUCUUUUGCAGUUUUCACGUGUUUCAAAAAGACACAAUUUAUCUUGAAGUAUUUUUAGAAUAACAACUAAAAUUUUCUAAUCAACGCUGUUGGAUUUUAAUUUGAUAUUUAAAUUACAGCUUAAAAUAAUGUUGACAGUUUUCACGUUUUAGUGAAAGAUCUCAAAAAUAUCACACAUGAUUUUAUGCCAGAACAGCAAUUAAUUAAUUCUCCAAGAACCACAUCUCUAAAUACUUCUAAUGUGUUAAAAUUCGCUGUAAAAAAAAUUAGAACAAGUGGUAAUGCUGAUAAAUGGAUUUCUCCGUAGUAGUGAAAUACAGAGUCUGGUGUUGUUGAACUUUAUUGAAGUGAUUUAAUGAAAAAUUAAUUUUCCGACAAUACUGUCUACGGUAUCACUGAGUAUCGAUUAAAUUUCCAACACUUGUGCUACUUUUGAAGAAUUUCGCUGAUACCUAAAUCAACAAGAGAGCAAAAUAGAGUGAUUUUUCCACUAGUGGAACUAUGGAUUUAAAGUGUUUUAUAGAGUGAACUGUGAAGAGUUUACAAAGGACACGAGCUCUGUGGAGUAUUUAGUGGCAUAUUUUGGAAUAUAAUUCUACUAUUUAAAUCCUAUAUGGUGUGUUAUUUUAUGUUGUUGGAAAAAAUAGUUCCUGCAAACUGGAUUGGUUUACACUGCAUCGUAACCGAAUGUGACAUUAUAAAAAAUAAAUGGGUACAAUGAGGCCAAAUAAAUACGAUGUUACCACAGUUUACCGUCUAUGCGAAGAUUUUGUGCCUCCUGAUGGUGGUGAUGGGAGCAUUAUGUACAACUUUAGACACAACCUUGAUAUCGGGAUGCUCAGGCAAAGCCGUACAAAUGGACAGUGCCGGACGUGUUUUUGCUUCCGACCAGCGCCGUAAGUGUAUUAAUUACCUUUCGGAUUGCCAUUUGUGUAGUCAUAUUAAUGUUUAUUCGCGAAGCUCAAGGCAAUAUGCUCUUAACACUAUCAUUAAUCCUUCCACAAUGUAAAGUACUCUUUUGCUGUAUUCAUAUAAUAUACAAGGAGAAUGAAGUGGAAUAUUUUCAAGGAGGAAUUUCACUUUUUCUCAUUCUCACUUGAGAAGACUUUCUUGAAAAAUAAUGUUUAAAAAUCAUUAUUUUGUGUAGUUCGGAGUUUAGUUUAUUUUGAGUAAACAUAACUAGUUCGUUGGUCAGAAACUUAUAGACUGGUAUGUUUAAACAGUGAGACAAACCGUGACAGAUUUGUAUACUUAGUACCAAACAUAAUAUUGAAGCUAUGUAAAAUUUCGGUAAGGGUGUUAAAAAAAAUUGUAAUUCCGUUCCCUGGUGUUUUUCUAUCCAAUCAACUUAUUUUUUUUUCGGUUCUUUUGAUAAGCUUUAUUUUUCUAGGAUAUCACUAAUUUAUGUCUUUACCCGUUUACAGGUUUGGCUAAUCUUAAAUUUAUACAUAAUUACACAUUUAUUGAUUCAUUUAAUUAAUGAAUUUGUUUUGUAAGUACAUAAUUGUUUUAGCAUGGGAAAAAAUCUUACCUGACUUUACUAGAUUGAUGUAAAAUAUGCCGUUUCAUUAUGAAUAAUCACAUAAAGUAGCUCUAGGCAAGGUUUAGGGUCAUUCAGAUUCAAUUUUAUUUAUAUGGGUUCAGUAGAUUUUAGCCAAUUUUACAAUACCCCACAUCGAGAGUCUGACAUUCUCGAGUUGCAUUUCAUCUUAUUAUUUGUAUUGUAUACGUUAAUUGGAACUGGAGAUUAAGUGAUACUUUCGUAUCAUUUAGUGUAAUUCUUUCCACGAACUGUAAUAAUUCAUUCUCACAAAUUCCACAUUUCGGGGAAAAGAAGAAUGAAGAGAAUUUAUAAUCAAUUAUAGGGCUAAAUGAGGGUGGUCCUUUUUUGCCUGCAGAACAACAAAUCAGAAAAACUCUUGACAAGAUAUGAUUAUUUUUUGUAAAACUAAUAUUCUUAAAAAAAAAUUAACAUAUAAAGCACAGUUUGUUUAUUUCUGAUUUUCUCUUAAAAGUUGUCACGUUUCAUUUCUGCUUUUUUUCUUAAUUUUUGGUGAAUUGGCUUGCAUUUUUGUUUUGGCUCCUCGUAUUUUUUAAGAUUUCGUGCAAAGAAAGAGAAUGGGUGAAAAAAGACAAUCUCGAUGGUUCUUGCUAAUACUUUAGCCGCCUUCUAAUUAAAAUGUUCAUAAAGACGUUAGCAGACAUCCCCAAAGAAAAAAAAAAA